CGGGACGGGUGAGUAAUGUAUGGGGAUCUGCCUGAUGGCGGGGGAUAACUACUGGAAACGGUAGCUAAUACCGCAUAAUGUCUGCGGACCAAAGCGGGGGACCUCCGGGCCUCGCGCCAUCAGAUGAACCCAUAUGGGAUUAGCUAGUAGGUAAGGUAACGGCUUACCUAGGCGACGAUCCCUAGCUGGUCUGAGAGGAUGAUCAGCCACACUGGGACUGGGACACGGCCCAG
Molecule: ribosomal RNA, 233 nt
Filed under: uncultured bacterium
Lineage: Bacteria
Description: partial 16S ribosomal RNA
Rfam family: Bacterial small subunit ribosomal RNA
Source: RNAcentral